This is a non-coding RNA of Pocillopora verrucosa, 2145 nucleotides long. NCBI's taxonomy places the organism in Eukaryota, Metazoa, Cnidaria, Anthozoa, Scleractinia, Pocilloporidae. The record is from RefSeq and is a predicted model, not a curated record.
UGAAGCUUAUCCAACACAAAGAUCCACUAACAUUGUACAAUGAUCUGACAAAAAGUCUCUUGUCUCAUGUCACAUGACAGUAAAAUUUUCAAGCAGUUGCAUAGCCAACAGGUCAAUGUGAGUGAAGCUUUUGAAAAAAAACCAACCACAACUACAGUUACAAAAUGCAAAGAUUUAAAGGGCAUUAUCCAUAGGUUCAUAGGAUUGUCAAAAGUGAGGUCUUCAUCCCUCAACGUUACAUCUAAUUCAUCAUCAUCAUCUGUAUAAUCCAAGAUUCCUAUGUCAUCUUCAUCAGCAUAAAGACUAACAGAGCCAUCAGACAUGUUAUCUGAAUAAUGUAAAUCAUCCAAGUCCUCAAGUUGACUGAAAGAAGAUGACACCAGGUUUUUACCUUCAUCAGAAGUUUCCUCAGAGUCAUAUCCAUCAAUUGAAGGCUCAUUGACAACUUCCCCAUCAUAUUCAAUGACAACUUUUGGCAAUGUCAUUCCUGAACUUCCAUGUUCUUUUUCUGUUCUAUUUCUGUCAUUGUUAUCACUCCUGCUCACCUCAUUCUCAUUGAUAUUACUUUCAAUUUUGAAUUCAUUAGGAUCAUUUACAUUUGAAGUUCUAAUUUUUGAUCCAACAGAUGGCACUGUUCCCUUACCACUGCUGUCAUCAAACUUUUCUAGGCCAUCAUUACGGCUGUCAUAUUCAACAACCACAUCAGGUUCUUGAUGUGCAGUCCUGCUUGCACCAUAUGAGUCUGAUGACCAUGAUUUCUGGCUAGAAUUCUCAUCAUAAGUAUUUUUAUCAGUAACUGAUUGCUUUUCUAAGCCAUCAAGAUCUAAUUUUGCUUUUUCUCCUUGCACAAAACUAUUACCUUGAAAAUUAUAUUGUCUAUUACUCCCAGAUGAACUCAGAGGCUGGCUUAUAGCACUAAUUCCAUCCCUGAAAUUCCUUGGUAAAGAAUUGGUGACGUUUUUUUCAGUUUUCAUACCAUGCAAACCAACUGACAUUGGCUGAUUGGUUUUUUUUUCGGCAUUAACUAAAGAGUCAAUAUUUUCUUUAAUGUUCUCAGAAUUUGUCGUCUCGUCCUCGUCUGUUAAUGUGACUGGUUUGAAUCGUCGACGGUUUGCCGACAAGGUCUUUUCAACAGGUUUUCGCUGUCUGGAACUAUAGGGCGUCUCAUAUUUGGACAGUCGUGAAGCAAUGGCAGAAUCUAAGGGGGUCUGUCUGUUUGGAAAGCCAGCUCCAAUCUUUGGUUUCGGAGCCACUUUGGGACGAUUUGUUCGCGGCUUAUCACUAAGUCGCGGUGAAGAUCUUGAUUGAGAGAGUUCUCUACUCGAAAUCGAUAAUCCUACAUCGUUGGAAAGAAUGAGCGCUGAUGGAAGGUUUGGUUUUUCGUUUAACACGUUUACACGCUCAUCUGAGAAAGCCUCAUGGUCUUUAAUCGAAGUUUGAGGACUAUUUACAUCAAAAGAAAAGUUGGAGUUGUUUUCGAGUUCUUUUCUUCGCGCCAAGGGUGAAGGUGAUCUUCGUCUUGGACUGCGAGGCCUUGUUUUUGUCAAAUUUUCGAGCGUGUAUUCUGUCUGUGGUGGCAAAAGUGAUCCUAACUCAUCAACUAAACUUGAAGAUUCCUCCAAGUUGUCUUUUGCACUAACUCGAUUCACGUUAGCAAUGGAACGAGAGCCAUGAUCUUCUCUCACCACAGAAAAUCCAAACGGCUUGUUCGAGUCCUUCGAUAAACCAGGCAACGCAAAAGCGCUUGGAGUAAAACCUCUUUUAGCCAUUCUGUAGUAACAGUCUACUUGUAACGGGAAGCUUCGACGAUGCCAUUAGUAAAUGAGGCAGUUAAACUUUCAAAACAAGCAAUAAUUUCAGCAUGAUAAUUGAGUUUGCUUUACACUCAGCUGUGCAUUCACUUACUAACACAUGCAUAAUUUAUGCAUAUUUGGCAGGCUGCGUGUUUGUUUGUGUACAUGCCUAUGUCACGUAGCGUGAUUGACAGCAAGACAUGAGUUGUAAACAAGUAGACGAUGAAGUCCUUGCUCGCAAAGAUAAUUACAGUGAUCGAAAACAAACGACUCAAGUUCUGUUAAAGGAACACAUUAAAUAUGAUACCCGAUUAAGCCGGACCAUAAUGUUUGAGAGAAUGCUUAACAAUGA